UUUUUUGUAACUUGUUUGAUAGGGUUUUUAUAGUUAUGUUGUUAGUCUCGACAACGACUCUGUUUUGAAGUGGUGUUAGUUUCUUUUAUUUAUAUUUUUCUCUUCUGAAACCUUCUAUAUGAUUCAGUCCUUUGAGGAAAGAGACAGAUUGCAUUCAACUUAGAAAUCAAAGUAGAACGUUGCUUGGUCUUGGUUUGGCUUUUGAAACUCAAUCUACGUUCAAAGUUGUGAAUUAAGUCAACUAACCUUGUUUGCUUCACCAGAAACAAAUCUUUGUAACUUAUUUGAUUGGAACCAUGCCUUCGUUUAAACUGAAACUCCUUGUGCCGGUAGGAUGACUUGGAUUUAUCUUUGUAUGGCAGAGGGGUGUCGUCAUGCAGAAAAAGGAAAUGAAUUUUGCCCGGUUCCAUUCUCAAAAGAAGAAAUUAUGAUGGGAUGAUUUUUUUUUCACUGAGACUUUAUGUAUCAUCAGGUAUUGGGAUUAUAAUUUUUCAUCGCAGCUAUUCUAGUGGCCAUUCCUCCCUCCUACUUCUCUUCUUUCCUAAGCUUUAUGUGCAAGUGCAAGCGAGCAUAUGUGUGAUUUACUUUUCUUAAAAAUCUUGCUUGCUGUUUAUUACAUUUACUUUUUUUGGAAGUGCUUUUGUUACGUAUUUGUAUAGAACAAGGAUGGUCCCG
Molecule: long non-coding RNA, 675 nt
Filed under: Prunus persica (peach)
Lineage: Eukaryota; Viridiplantae; Streptophyta; Magnoliopsida; Rosales; Rosaceae
Description: long non-coding RNA (PPER_LNC001579)
Source: RNAcentral